CCGUGUGUGGCUCAGUCUGGUAGAGUACUCCGUUUGGGGCGGAGGGGUCGUAGGUUCAAUUCCUACCACACGGA
Molecule: transfer RNA, 74 nt
Filed under: Erwinia phage pEa_SNUABM_47
Lineage: Duplodnaviria; Heunggongvirae; Uroviricota; Caudoviricetes
Also listed under: 1 other name
Description: tRNA-Pro
Rfam family: tRNA
About the family: Transfer RNA (tRNA) molecules are approximately 80 nucleotides in length. Their secondary structure includes four short double-helical elements and three loops (D, anti-codon, and T loops).
Source: RNAcentral